Molecule: small RNA, 77 nt
Filed under: Klebsiella pneumoniae
Lineage: Bacteria; Pseudomonadati; Pseudomonadota; Gammaproteobacteria; Enterobacterales; Enterobacteriaceae
Description: RtT sRNA
Rfam family: RtT RNA
About the family: This family represents a bacterial cis-regulatory element known as RtT RNA.
Source: RNAcentral
AAGGUUCGACUCGAGCGAAGCGAGAGAACGUUGCCGCAGGCAACGGCCCGAAGGGCGAGGCGCUUUAGCGCCGAGUA